AGUGAACGCUGGCGGUAGGCCUAACACAUGCAAGUCGAACGGCGGCACAGUAAGAGCUUGCUCUUACGGGUGGCGAGUGGCGGACGGGUGAGGAAUACAUCGGAAUCUACUUUUUCGUGGGGGAUAACGUAGGGAAACUUACGCUAAUACCGCAUACGACCUACGGGUGAAAGCAGGGGAUCUUCGGACCUUGCGCGAUUGAAUGAGCCGAUGUCGGAUUAGCUAGUUGGCGGGGUAAAGGCCCACCAAGGCGACGAUCCGUAGCUGGUCUGAGAGGAUGAUCAGCCACACUGGAACUGAGACACGGUCCAGACUCCUACGGGAGGCAGCAGUGGGGAAUAUUGGACAAUGGGCGCAAGCCUGAUCCAGCCAUACCGCGUGGGUGAAGAAGGCCUUCGGGUUGUAAAGCCCUUUUGUUGGGAAAGAAAAGCAGCAGGUUAAUACCCCGCUGUUCUGACGGUACCCAAAGAAUAAGCAUCGGCUAACUUCGUG
This 492-nucleotide ribosomal RNA is filed under the name uncultured bacterium. Its description in RNAcentral is "partial 16S ribosomal RNA". It matches the Rfam family "Bacterial small subunit ribosomal RNA", at positions 29 to 507 of the family's 1533-position model. The record is from RNAcentral.